This 2061-nucleotide long non-coding RNA is filed under the name Marmota monax (woodchuck). The record is from RNAcentral. Lineage: Eukaryota; Metazoa; Chordata; Mammalia; Rodentia; Sciuridae.
GUCAGGGUCUUUCUAUGUUGCCCAUGCUGAACCCUGAGCUGGAACAAUCCCAACUCAGUCUCCUGAGUAGCUAUGACUAUAGGCAUGUGCCAAUCAUUGGGUUUCUCCCCUGUUCCCUUGCUGGGAAUGGAACCCAGGGCCUUGCACAUGCAAAGCAUGCACUCUACCAAUGAGCCACAUCCCCAGCCAAUGGGAUUAUAUCAAAUGAGUUCUUUAAAAAGAGAACUUCUUAGCUGGGCUCAAUUGGUUGAGUUCCUCCUGAAAAAUUUUUUGUGUGUGUGUGUGUGUGUGUGUUUUUCAGGGCUAAAGUAUCACAUACACUAGAAAAGAAGCCAAGACAUUAGCAUUUCACAUUCUCAAUAUAUGUGCUGAGAGCACUUGCGCUGGUUGUUUUUAGAUAUUAAUUGUCACCAGUAACAGGAUGAAGAAGUUUCCUGGUUUAGGAGAAGUGAUUGGAGAGAAGCUAGAAAACAGAAAAGGGUGUCUUGUACUGGGUAGGAGGUUUGCACAGAUAAUCUUUGACAUCCCUCAGAGUUUUAAGAUUCUAAACCAUGGGCCUGGCUGGAAAAAGAGCUUGCUGUAUUGUCUUCUCACAGAGCAGGGGCCAUCUGUGACACACAGGCUCAAUUUUACACAUCAACAUUCCUCUGUGAUCAAGAGGCAGGCACCAGAUAGACACAUGUGUUCUAGGAAAUGGUUGUUCCCUGCAUGGCAUCACUGCCCCCUUCUGCAGGCCCACAUGCUGCUGUGCCCUUUUGUAUGCCCCCCGAAAUUCUUGUCUCUUAUCACCUAGUGGUCUCUGCUGUUGGCCUGCCUCCGUGCAGCCGCUCCAUCCUGCACUCUGCAGAUUGACUUCCUUGACUCCACGUAGCCUGUGUUUCCCCGUAACUCAGUGUGUAUUUUGAUUUGUCUUGACAGGGUGCCAACUCUGUCCUCAAUUUCACAUGACUUCCGUUCAACUCAUUCACAGCUGAGUACUGGUUCUCAUUCAGGGUCCCAUCUCCAGAUCUUCUACAACAGUGUGCUGCCCAUCUGGGUUCAGGUGUUCACCCCAAUUUGAUUAUUGGGGAAAUAGGAAGGUACAGAGACAGAAACCCCAUCUAGCAGUGGUAGGAAGGGUUCCCAUGGAAGGAGUUGUGUCUAGCUGAGACUCCAGGUGAGUCAGCUGCUCGGGAGUGCACACCUGGAAAUGGGACACUCCUACGGUCAUUGUUCCAUUGCAUUCUGCUCUGGUAAGAGUCUAUGACUAGUUCUGCAACUAAGGAGACAGUAAGAGCACUGGGGAAAGGACUCACUGUGGAUCCCAAGUAUGAAAUUAUGGGGAGGAGGCCCUUCCAGUUCUAGAAGUCCUGAUUCCUAUGGAAACAUAAAAGAACAGCAAAAGCAACCAGUAGAAGAGUAGCUCAUAUAUGAAUUCCACCCUAUAAAGGAGUUAUCUGUUGGAUGUAUAUAACAAAAAAGCCUAAAUUUCAGUGAGAAACCACAGUAAUGCACCAUUGAUACACACUAUUAGCAAUUUCAAUUAUUUGACCCACAUUUCUGACAAGGCUGAGGUACUGCUUGCAUUCACACAUGGCUGGUGUCCACUGACAUAGCAUUUUCAGGAUCUCAAAAAAUUGACCAACUGUUUCUACCCCUGUUUCUACAGACCAGAGGCAGAGGCACUGUGUUCACACCACACCACCUGCUGGUUGAGCUGGGGCACAGGUGCUCUCACCAGAAUUCUCUGACCCACCCAGACAUCAAAGUCAUGGGAGUAUGGAUGGGGUGAAGUGCACACUGCCAGGCACUGAGAGUAACUGGGACACAUCUUUUGGGAUGGGUCCCCAGCUCUCUUUUCUAUAAAGCUCCACAGAUAUUUCUGAUGAUCCGUCAGGACUAAAAACAGUAGAACUUUUUAUUUUCAACUGGAAACAUAAAAAAGCUGUUUUGUUGGUUGUGUUUUCCUGGCCACGACCAGCUUGUAGGAAAGUACAAGGCUUUCCUGAGAAAGCACAGUGGCACCCCACCUAGUCCACAUCACACCACACCCCACCCUGAGAAUUCCAGAAUGAACCCACA